RNAcentral lists this ribosomal RNA (497 nucleotides) under uncultured bacterium. Its description in RNAcentral is "partial 16S ribosomal RNA". It matches the Rfam family "Bacterial small subunit ribosomal RNA", at positions 28 to 507 of the family's 1533-position model. The record is from RNAcentral.
GAUGAACGCUGGCGGCGUGCCUAAUACAUGCAAGUCGAGCGAACAGACGAGGAGCUUGCUCCUCUGACGUUAGCGGCGGACGGGUGAGUAACACGUGGAUAACCUACCUAUAAGACUGGGAUAACUUCGGGAAACCGGAGCUAAUACCGGAUAAUAUAUUGAACCGCAUGGUUCAAUAGUGAAAGACGGUUUUGCUGUCACUUAUAGAUGGAUCCGCGCCGCAUUAGCUAGUUGGUAAGGUAACGGCUUACUAAGGCAACGAUGCGUAGCCGACCUGAGAGGGAGAUCGGCCACACUGGAACUGAGACACGGUCCAGACUCCUACGGGAGGCAGCAGUAGGGAAUCUUCCGCAAUGGGCGAAAGCCUGACGGAGCAACGCCGCGUGAGUGAUGAAGGUCUUCGGAUCGUAAAACUCUGUUAUUAGGGAAGAACAAAUGUGUAAGUAACUAUGCACGUCUUGACGGUACCUAAUCAGAAAGCCACGGCUAACUACGUG